This 598-nucleotide ribosomal RNA is filed under the name uncultured bacterium. Its description in RNAcentral is "bacterial SSU rRNA". It matches the Rfam family "Bacterial small subunit ribosomal RNA", at positions 13 to 602 of the family's 1533-position model. The record is from RNAcentral.
UUGAUCAUGGCUCAGAUUGAACGCUGGCGGCAGGCCUAACACAUGCAAGUCGAGCGGUAACAGGGGAAGCUUGCUUCCCGCUGACGAGCGGCGGACGGGUGAGUAAUGUAUGGGGAUCUGCCCGAUAGAGGGGGAUAACCACUGGAAACGGUGGCUAAUACCGCAUAAUCUCUUAGGAGCAAAGCAGGGGAACUUCGGUCCUUGCGCUAUCGGAUGAACCCAUAUGGGAUUAGCUAGUAGGUGGGGUAAUGGCUCACCUAGGCGACGAUCCCUAGCUGGUCUGAGAGGAUGAUCAGCCACACUGGGACUGAGACAUGGCCCAGACUCCUACGGGAGGCAGCAGUGGGGAAUAUUGCACAAUGGGCGCAAGCCUGAUGCAGCCAUGCCGCGUGUAUGAAGAAGGCCCUAGGGUUGUAAAGUACUUUCAGUCGGGAGGAAGGCGUUGAUGCUAAUAUCAUCAACGAUUGACGUUACCGACAGAAGAAGCACCGGCUAACUCCGUGCCAGCAGCCGCAGUAAUACGGAGGGUGCAAGCGUUAAUCGGAAUUACUGGGCGUAAAGCGCACGCAGGCGGUUGAUUAAGUUAGAUGUGAAAUCC